GACGAACGCUGGCGGCGUGCUUAACACAUGCAAGUCGAGCGGUAAGGCCCUUUCGGGGGUACACGAGCGGCGAACGGGUGAGUAACACGUGGGUGACCUGCCCUCAGCUCUGGGAUAAGCCUGGGAAACUGGGUCUAAUACUGGAUAUGACUCCACGGUGCAUGUCGUGGGGUGGAAAGCCUUGUGCGGCUGAGGAUGGGCCCGCGGCCUAUCAGCUUGUUGGUGGGGGAUGGGCCUACCAAGGCGACGACGGGUAGCCGGCCUGAGAGGGCGACCGGCCACACUGGGACUGAGACACGGCCCAGACUCCUACGGGAGGCAGCAGUGGGGAAUCUUG
This 337-nucleotide ribosomal RNA is filed under the name uncultured bacterium. Its description in RNAcentral is "bacterial SSU rRNA". It matches the Rfam family "Bacterial small subunit ribosomal RNA", at positions 28 to 366 of the family's 1533-position model. The record is from RNAcentral.